RNAcentral lists this ribosomal RNA (1240 nucleotides) under metagenome. Its description in RNAcentral is "bacterial LSU rRNA". It matches the Rfam family "Bacterial large subunit ribosomal RNA", at positions 1564 to 2815 of the family's 2925-position model. The record is from RNAcentral.
UGAAUACGAGACGCUAAGGCGUCGAAGUAGUGUAUGUCAUACUUCCAAGAAAAGCUUGCACUGUCAUAGAUAAAAAACGCCUGUACCAUAACCGACACAGGUGGGUAGGUAGAGUAUACUAAGGGGCGCGAGAUAACUCUCUCUAAGGAACUCGGCAAAAUAACUCCGUAACUUCGGGAGAAGGAGUGCCUUAUUCGUAAGGUUGCAAUAACAAGAUCCAAGCAACUGUUUAUCAAAAACACAGGUCUCCGCUAAGUCGUAAGACGAUGUAUGGGGGCUGACGCCUGCCCAGUGCCAGAAGGUUAAAGAAGUUGGUUAGCAAUUGCGAAGCUGAUAACUGAAGCCCUGGUGAACGGCGGCCGUAACUGUAACGGUCCUAAGGUAGCGAAAUUCCUUGUCGGGUAAGUUCCGACCCGCACGAAAGGCGUAAUGAUUUGGAUACUGUCUCGGAGAGGGGCUCGGUGAAAUAGACUUGUCUGUGAAGAUGCGGACUACCUGCACCAGGACAGAAAGACCCUAUGAAGCUUUACUGUAACUUGAAAUUGAAAUUGGACUUUAUUCGCGCAGUAUAGGUGGGAGGCGUUGAUUAUAAUCUUGUGGGAUUAUUGGAGCCAUCAGUGAGAUACCACUCUUGUAAUGUUAGAUUUCUAACUUUGAAUCAUUAUCUGGUCAAAGAACAGUUUCAGGCGGGCAGUUUGACUGGGGCGGUCGCCUCCUAAACGGUAACGGAGGCGUACAAAGGUUUCCUCUGAACGGUUAGAAAUCGUAUCUAGAGUGUAAAGGCAUAAGGAAGCUUGACUGUGAGACCUACAAGUCGAGCAGGGACGAAAGUCGGUCUUAGUGAUCUGACGGUACUGAGUGGAAAGGCCGUCACUCAACGGAUAAAAGUUACUCUAGGAUAACAGGCUGAUCUCCCCCAAGAGUUCACAUCGACGGGGAGGUUUGGCACCUCGAUGUCGGCUCAUCGCAUCCUGGGGCGGUAGUACGUCCCAAGGGUUGGGCUGUUCGCCAUGAAAGCGGUACGCGAGCUGGGUUCAGAACGUCGUGAGACAGUUCGGUCCAUAUCCGGUGUAGGCGUUAGAAUAUUGAGAGGAGCCUUCUUUAGUACGAGAGGACCGAGAAGGACAUACCUCUGGUGUACCAGUUAUCGUGCCAACGGUAAACGCUGGGUAGCUAUGUAUGGAGUGGAUAACCGCUGAAAGCAUCUAAGUGGGAAGCCCACCUCAAGAUAAGUAUUCCC